RNAcentral lists this transfer RNA (92 nucleotides) under Cellulomonas phragmiteti. Its description in RNAcentral is "tRNA-Ala". Lineage: Bacteria; Bacillati; Actinomycetota; Actinomycetes; Micrococcales; Cellulomonadaceae. The record is from RNAcentral.
GCCGGUGCUGGCCUGGUGGGCGGUGCCCUCGCGCGUCGCCGCAGUGGACCACCGGGAGGCGGUCGACGUGUUCCGGGCACCCGUCGCCGACC